RNAcentral lists this long non-coding RNA (182 nucleotides) under Ictidomys tridecemlineatus (thirteen-lined ground squirrel). RNAcentral's name for it is "lncRNA (ENSSTOG00000022437.2)". The record is from RNAcentral. Lineage: Eukaryota; Metazoa; Chordata; Mammalia; Rodentia; Sciuridae.
GGCCCCAGAGGAGUCAAGCUCAAGGGCUGCCCCAAUGAGCCGAACUUUGGCUCCCUGUCUGCCCUGGUCUACCAGCACUCCAUCAUCCCUCUGGCUCUGCCCUGCAAGCUCGUCAUUCCAAACCGAGACCCCACAGAUGAAUCCAGAGAUAGCUCGGGCCCUGCCAACUCGACCUCUGACCU